UCUGACGACUAUAGCGAGGUGGUCCCACCCCUUCCCAUUCCGAACAGGGCCGUGAAACGCCUCAGCGCCGAUGAUAGUACGGUGUAUUCCGUGCGAAAGUAGGACAUCGUCAGGC
Betaproteobacteria bacterium SG8_41 is the source of this 115-nucleotide non-coding RNA. The record is from Rfam. NCBI's taxonomy places the organism in Bacteria, Pseudomonadati, Pseudomonadota, Betaproteobacteria.